Cyprinodon variegatus (sheepshead minnow) is the source of this 961-nucleotide long non-coding RNA. RefSeq lists it as uncharacterized. Lineage: Eukaryota; Metazoa; Chordata; Actinopteri; Cyprinodontiformes; Cyprinodontidae. The record is from RefSeq and is a predicted model, not a curated record. The transcript is spliced from 4 exons.
UCAUCAACAUUUCCUUAUUUCAUACUUCAUGUGAAAGUAGCCAUUUCUCAGGCUGGACAAAGUGAAAAUAGUGCUAAAAACAUCAAAGUGAAACACUGAUUACGAUCUAAUAGGGGUCGUGAAGCUUAAACAACUUUCUUCUUAAGACGCCACAAGAAAUGGAGUUUUCAGAUUCCCUUGCUGCAGUUAUUUGGAUCAACAUCCGUGUCUGCCUCCCGUUGACUUUUCUGCUCAUGGCUUUCUGCUGCAUGGUCCGAUUGGAUCGUGUUCCCGUCUCCUACUUCAUCAACCUUCUGCUCUCCAAUCUAGUCCAGCUCAUAAUUCUGAUCGCUCUACCUCUACUUCCGGAUUAUUACUGGAAACGUCUAAUCUCUGUCCAUAUCUAUGCCUGUUGUGCUCUGGCCAGCCUUUACUUCAGGAUGAUCAUAGCUUUAGAAAGAUGUUUUUUCAUCUCCCGCCCACUGUCAAACUGUCUGACACAAACCAAAUACAUGGUGAUACUCUGUGCUUUGGUAUGGGUGUGUAGUUUUGGAUUUAUCCCUCUUCUUUUUAAAUUUGCCAAAGGACUGCUUGUGCUAGUUAUUGCCAUCUUUCCAGCCCCUGUCUUUAUUGUUUGUCUCUUUUGGGCCCUUAAAUGGAUAAAUACCAACAUGUCAGUGUCAGCUGAAGAAAAACAUGGAGAUAUGGGAACUUUGCUCUUGCUGUGGGUUAAUUACAUGGUCUCAAUCUUUCCUGUAGUUAUUUAUUUCAUAUAUCUUGGUGAUUUUAAUCGCUAUUUUUUCAAGAUUGCAGAUAUUUUUUUGACAUUUUUUCUCCUCAGUCCAUGUAUGGACUUGAUCUUGUUUAUUUUCAUGUGUAAAGGUCUGAUUGGUAAGCUGCUGAUACUGUGCUGCUGCAAGAGUGAAGCUAAUGAUGGAUCAGAUCUCAACAGGUCUUCAGUUUAAAUACAUCAGCAAGUGAU